This 298-nucleotide signal recognition particle RNA is filed under the name Aotus nancymaae (Ma's night monkey). RNAcentral describes it as "Metazoan signal recognition particle RNA (ENSANAG00000005458.1)". It matches the Rfam family "Metazoan signal recognition particle RNA". Rfam says of the family: The signal recognition particle (SRP) is a universally conserved ribonucleoprotein. Lineage: Eukaryota; Metazoa; Chordata; Mammalia; Primates; Aotidae. The record is from Rfam by way of RNAcentral.
ACUGGGCACGGUGGCACAUGCCUGUAGUCCCAGCUACUCGGGAGACUGAGGUGGGAGGGUCACUUGAGCCCAGGAGUUCUGGGCUGUAGUGCUCAAUGCCUGUCGGGUGUCUGUACUAAGUUUGGCAUCAAUAUGGUUAUCUCCUGGGAGCCGGGGACCACCAGGUUGCCUAGGGAGGGGUGAACUGGCCCAGGUCAGAAACGAGCAGGUCAAAACUCCUGUGCUGAUCAGUAGUGGGAUUACACCUGUGAAUAGUCACUGCACUGCAGCCUGGGCAACAUAGUGAUACCCAUCUUAA